This 272-nucleotide ribosomal RNA is filed under the name uncultured Lachnospiraceae bacterium. RNAcentral describes it as "partial 16S ribosomal RNA". It matches the Rfam family "Bacterial small subunit ribosomal RNA", at positions 65 to 339 of the family's 1533-position model. The record is from RNAcentral. Lineage: Bacteria; Bacillati; Bacillota; Clostridia; Lachnospirales; Lachnospiraceae.
AGUGAGUAGCUUGCUAUGAGCUGUUUUAGCGGCGGACGGGUGAGUAACGCGUGGGUAACCUGCCUCACACUGGGGGAUAACAGUUAGAAAUAGCUGCUAAUACCGCAUAAGCGCACAGUACCGCAUGGUACGGUGUGAAAAACUCCGGUGGUAUGAGAUGGACCCGCGUCUGAUUAGCCAGUUGGCGGGGUAACGGCCCACCAAAGCGACGAUCAGUAGCCGACCUGAGAGGGUGACCGGCCACAUUGGGACUGAGACACGGCCCAAACUCC